AACGUCCAUACCAUGUUGAAUGUACCGGUUCUCAUUAGAUCAUCGAAGUCAAGUAUCAUUGGGUGCGGUCAGUACUUGGGUGGGUGACCACCUGGGAACACCACGUGCCGUU
This 112-nucleotide ribosomal RNA is filed under the name Caerostris darwini. The record is from RNAcentral. Lineage: Eukaryota; Metazoa; Arthropoda; Arachnida; Araneae; Araneidae.